GAUGAAGAACGUAGCGAAAUGCGAUAAGUAAUGUGAAUUGCAGAAUUCAGUGAAUCAUCGAAUCUUUGAACGCGCAUUGCGCCCAUUAGUAUUCUAGUGGGCAUGCCUGUUCGAGCGUCAUUAAGUCUACUUAAGCCCUGCUUAGUGUUGGGAGACUGCUCCAGCGGUGCUACCCUGUAGCUACCCUGCAGCUCCUCAAAGACAGCGGCGGAGUUGUGGUAUCCUCUGAGCUUAGUAACUUGUACUAGCUUUCGAGUACACCACUUCCCCUGCCGUAAAACCCUUAAUUUUUAAUGGUUGACCUCGGAUCAGGUAGGAAUACCCGCUGAACUUAAGCAUAUCAAUAAGCGGAGGA
Molecule: unclassified non-coding RNA, 355 nt
Filed under: soil metagenome
Description: partial contains 5.8S ribosomal RNA, internal transcribed spacer 2, and large subunit ribosomal RNA
Rfam family: 5.8S ribosomal RNA (bases 1-120)
Source: RNAcentral